GCUCUCGUAGCUCAAAAUACCAGAGCGGGCGGCUUCGAACCGCCAGGUUGCAGGUGAGAUUCCUGCCGGGAGUACCA
RNAcentral lists this transfer RNA (77 nucleotides) under Verrucomicrobiota bacterium. Its description in RNAcentral is "Verrucomicrobia bacterium tRNA-Arg". It matches the Rfam family "tRNA". From Rfam's summary of the family: Transfer RNA (tRNA) molecules are approximately 80 nucleotides in length. The record is from RNAcentral. Lineage: Bacteria; Pseudomonadati; Verrucomicrobiota.